This 142-nucleotide microRNA precursor is filed under the name Oryza rufipogon (brownbeard rice). RNAcentral describes it as "MIR2118 microRNA precursor family". It matches the Rfam family "MIR2118 microRNA precursor family". Lineage: Eukaryota; Viridiplantae; Streptophyta; Magnoliopsida; Poales; Poaceae. The record is from Rfam by way of RNAcentral.
GCAGGGAAGAGGAAGAAAGAGAGCCUCUAAGAGCGAUGGGAAUAGGAACAUGGAGGAAAGCCUGAAGCUAAAUUUUCUCUGCGUUUUCCCGAUGCCUCCUAUUCCUACCGAUCUUAGGUACUCCUUCCUCUUCCUUUAAGCU